Molecule: ribosomal RNA, 685 nt
Filed under: Escherichia sp. Dgg6
Lineage: Bacteria; Pseudomonadati; Pseudomonadota; Gammaproteobacteria; Enterobacterales; Enterobacteriaceae
Description: bacterial SSU rRNA
Rfam family: Bacterial small subunit ribosomal RNA
Source: RNAcentral
GUCCACGCCGUAAACGAUGUCGACUUGGAGGUUGUGCCCUUGAGGCGUGGCUUCCGGAGCUAACGCGUUAAGUCGACCGCCUGGGGAGUACGGCCGCAAGGUUAAAACUCAAAUGAAUUGACGGGGGCCCGCACAAGCGGUGGAGCAUGUGGUUUAAUUCGAUGCAACGCGAAGAACCUUACCUGGUCUUGACAUCCAUGGAAGUUUUCAGAGAUGAGAAUGUGCCUUCGGGAACCGUGAGACAGGUGCUGCAUGGCUGUCGUCAGCUCGUGUUGUGAAAUGUUGGGUUAAGUCCCGCAACGAGCGCAACCCUUAUCCUUUGUUGCCAGCGGUCCGGCCGGGAACUCAAAGGAGACUGCCAGUGAUAAACUGGAGGAAGGUGGGGAUGACGUCAAGUCAUCAUGGCCCUUACGACCAGGGCUACACACGUGCUACAAUGGCGCAUACAAAGAGAAGCGACCUCGCGAGAGCAAGCGGACCUCAUAAAGUGCGUCGUAGUCCGGAUUGGAGUCUGCAACUCGACUCCAUGAAGUCGGAAUCGCUAGUAAUCGUGGAUCAGAAUGCCACGGUGAAUACGUUCCCGGGCCUUGUACACACCGCCCGUCACACCAUGGGAGUGGGUUGCAAAAGAAGUAGGUAGCUUAACCUUCGGGAGGGCGCUUACCACUUUGUGAUUCAUGACUGG